AUUGAACGCUGGCGGCAGGCCUAACACAUGCAAGUCGAACGGUAACAGGAAGAUUCUUGCUUCUUUGCUGACGAGUGGCGGACGGGUGAGUCAUGUCUGGGAAACUGCCUGAUGGAGGGGGAUAACUACUGGAAACGGUAGCUAAUACCGCAUAACGUCGCAAGACCAAAGAGGGGGACCUUCGGGCCUCUUGCCAUCGGAUGUGCCCAGAUGGGAUUAGCUAGUAGGUGGGGUAACGGCUCACCUAGGCGACGAUCCCUAGCUGGUCUGAGAGGAUGAACAGCCACACUGGAACUGAGACACGGUCCAGACUCCUACGGGAGGCAGCAGUGGGGAAUAUUGCACAAUGGGCGCAAGCCUGAUGCAGCCAUGCCGCGUGUAUGAAGAAGGCCUUCGGGUUGUAAAGUACUUUCAGCGGGGAGGAAGGGAGUAAAGUUAAUACCUGUGCUCAUUGACGUUACCCGCAGAAGAAGCACCGGCUAACUCCGUG
Molecule: ribosomal RNA, 490 nt
Filed under: uncultured bacterium
Lineage: Bacteria
Description: partial 16S ribosomal RNA
Rfam family: Bacterial small subunit ribosomal RNA
Source: RNAcentral